UACGGAGGGGGCUAGCGUUAUUCGGAAUGACUGGGCGUAAAGCGCGCGUAGGCGGAAAUGAAAGUCAGGGGUGAAAUCCCGGAGCUUAACUCCGGAACUGCCUUUGAAACUAUGUUUCUAGAGUUUGGUAGAGGACAGUGGAAUUUCUAGUGUAGCGGUGAAAUGCGUAGAUAUUAGAAGGAACACCAGUGGCGAAGGCGACUGUCUGGACCAAUACUGACGCUAAGGCGCGAAAGCGUGGGUAGCAAACAGG
Molecule: ribosomal RNA, 253 nt
Filed under: uncultured bacterium
Lineage: Bacteria
Description: partial 16S ribosomal RNA
Rfam family: Bacterial small subunit ribosomal RNA
Source: RNAcentral